This is a long non-coding RNA of Ictidomys tridecemlineatus (thirteen-lined ground squirrel), 521 nucleotides long. RefSeq lists it as uncharacterized. NCBI's taxonomy places the organism in Eukaryota, Metazoa, Chordata, Mammalia, Rodentia, Sciuridae. The record is from RefSeq and is a predicted model, not a curated record.
CUGAAAACUUCCCAGCAACUCUAAUAGGCCAGUUCUUUUUCACACCAUUUCCAGAUUCUUCCCUGUACAAAUAUGGAGAUUUUUCUAGUGGUUGCUUAUAAGUGAGUUAUGGGAAAAGAGUAAAAUCAGAGCCAGGCAAAUAAGCUGGAGACAAAUGACAUAAGGAAAAUUAUUACCAUAAAUGGGAUAUUCAUAAAAUAUAAAAACUCACUUUUUCUCCAUCUAUCUGAGCUACUGAAUCUUUUCAGAUUCCCUUUGUAUGACUUUGUGAUGACCCCUCUCUUUCAUCAAGAAAACUCAAUGUUAUUUCCAACCAUGAUUUUGUUGGUGCCGACAAGACAAGACCAGGACAAAGAUCAACUCGACCAGGAUCUGAGCAAGAUCACAGGCACUGCCACCCCCUAGCCUCUCGCCUCUGCUCUUUCCUGGUAGAACCACAGUGCUCCUGUUGAGGCCCUGAAGACAGUACUCUGACCUGUCUUCCCAGUGCAACCACCCUGAGAAUAUAUUCCUCAAUCGCU